This 432-nucleotide ribosomal RNA is filed under the name uncultured Bacteroidales bacterium. RNAcentral describes it as "bacterial SSU rRNA". It matches the Rfam family "Bacterial small subunit ribosomal RNA", at positions 28 to 453 of the family's 1533-position model. The record is from RNAcentral. Lineage: Bacteria; Pseudomonadati; Bacteroidota; Bacteroidia; Bacteroidales.
GAUAAACGCUAGCGGCAGGCCUAACACAUGCAAGUCGAGGGGCAUCACGGGAGUAGUAAUACUUUUGGUGGCGACCGGCGGACGGGUGCGUAACGCGUAUACAACUUACCUUCAACAGGGGGAUAACUCUGGGAAACCGGAACUAAUACCCCGUAACAUUGAGAGCGGCAUCGCUUUUAGUUGAAAGAUUUAUCGGUUGGAGAUGGGUAUGCGUUGUAUUAGUUAGUUGGCGAGGUAACGGCUCACCAAGACUACGAUACAUAGGGGGACUGAGAGGUUAACCCCCCACACUGGUACUGAGACACGGACCAGACUCCUACGGGAGGCAGCAGUGAGGAAUAUUGGUCAAUGGGCGGAAGCCUGAACCAGCCAUGCCGCGUGCAGGAUGAAGGCGCUAUGCGUUGUAAACUGCUUUUGUACAGGGGUAAUAAC